This is a long non-coding RNA of Rattus norvegicus (Norway rat), 1317 nucleotides long. RefSeq lists it as uncharacterized. NCBI's taxonomy places the organism in Eukaryota, Metazoa, Chordata, Mammalia, Rodentia, Muridae. The record is from RefSeq and is a predicted model, not a curated record.
GUAGCCUGAGAGCUGAGUCAGGAAAGGGAGGAGAGGAGUUUACAUAGGCACAAAGGCCAUGGCUGGAGAGACAGUGGAAGAGAACACAGUGACUCAUAAACUGUGACCUCUCCAAGCCCCACUUAACUGGACUUUGGAUGAUGACAAAUGAUGACUUUGUCAUUGUGACAACUGCUCUGUUCUUUCACAAAGGCUGCAUUCCAUUAAUGUACCAAACAUUUGUCAAGAAGCUGGUAAUGGUACGCCUGCCCUGCAGUCCACAUUCUGCUCAUGGAGAGAGAUGUAGGCAAACUCCAUCAGAAAUGACAUGUGAGGACUUAGGUGUCUCCACCAUGGGACAGAAACAAAUACAGUCAUCUCAAUUCCAUUCUUCUCUCUUCAGCCUUCACACUAUUUCUCUUAAGUUGGCAGUUAAUCGCAGAGGGAGCAUAGGUUAAGACUAUCAGGGGUAUACAUGAUUAGGCUCCAAACACAUUUGCUAUAAGAAGUGUUAUUCUUUGGACUUUGGAACCUGCCCUAAACUCCAGCAGAACACUCUAUAAAAGCAGCUUCUGGUCUGGAGAGCAUCAGGUGCUUAACUCUGCUACUUGGUUGGGAACUGAAGCCAUGGCUUUCAAUGCAUAGGCUGCAUGGAAGGAAGCACCACCCAGAGCCCCACAAGGUGCCAGACUUGAACCUAGAACUGGCCUGGGACUGGGUAAUGGAUAAUUUUGAGGCCCUGAGCCAUCACUCCUGCCAGCACCCCUGGUGCUGUGGACCUGGGAAACCCAGCACAGCCUCACUGAUGGAUGAAGCUGCAUUUGGGGGUGAGAGGGGACAGAAACGCUGCAGAGAGCCACAUGCUGAGGAGCCAAUGGAUGAAACUGCAGAGCGACUUUGGGGUCAUCAAGAUGUAGGAGCCACUUCCAGGAGAAAGGUUCAAUGGACUUUGGACCAGCUGAAAGGUGACUACACCCACAGCAGUGGAGAGAUGCUUGCCCCACAUGAAUCCUGGAGCCAAGGGGGCUCCCAGAAACGACUCAAAACUGAGACUGGCAUGAGAGAGGAAUCAGGAAAGGAAAGACACCCAAGCAUUGUGGACAGCAUACGCCUUGAGAUCCUUCAAUAUAUUUGGGAGGCUCCAGAAAAACAUGGACCAAGAGCUUCAUGCUGCCUCUGAGGGCUUAAAGACUGUGCCCUAUAUGCCCUGGAGCUUUGAAGUCUCUUUAUUUUGUCCUCUUGACUGUUCAGUUGAUGUGUUAUGGAUAUUUUCUUAAAUCCAUGUAGAAUCAUUACAUUCUGAUGGAAACUGUACAUAAUUAAAAUCUUUCCUCCCCA